UCCUGGGCCUCCAGGAGAAUGUGCGGAAGCUGCCGAAGCUGCCCAGCCCGUCCCCACUUGCCAUCAAGCACCUGUGGAUCCGCACUGCUUUGUUUGAGAAGGUCCUGGACAAAAUUGUGCAUUACCUGGUGGAAAACAGGAAAAUAUAUAUGAAAGGAGAGAGCAGAGUCCUUCCUCUCACGAACCUCACAUCGUUGCAGGGAAAACAGGAAAAUAGUAAUUGUGGUUAAAUGUGUAAAUACUAUGAGAAGGAAGCCCUCCUGAUGGACGCGGUGGAUGGCCCCAUCCUUGCGUCUUUGUUGGUGGGGCCCCGUGCCCUGGAGUACACCAAGGUGAAGACUGCAGAUCACUUCUGGACUGACCCCUCGGCCGACGAGCUUGUCCAGAGGCACCGCAUCCACAGCUCGCACCUGUGGCAGGACUCACCCACCAAGCGUCCAGCCCUCUGUAUCCAGAAGAGACAUUCAAGUGGCAGCAUGGACGACCGACCAUCCCUUUCUGCCCGUGACUGUGUUGAGUCCCUGCACCAGAACUCCCGGGCCACGCUCCUCUAUGGCAAGAACAAUGUUCUGGUUCAGCCGGUGUCCCUAAGUAGGAAAAGCAGCGGUCCCUUCCUGUCAUGAGUCGCCAGGCUGUUGCUGAGGUCGCCACGGGAGCAAUGGAAUAUGGUGUCCCUAAGUAGGAAAAGCAGCGGUCCCUUCCUGUCAUGAGUCGCCAGGCUGUUGCUGAGGUCGCCACGGGAGCAAUGGAAUAUGGUGUCCCUAAGUAGGAAAAGCAGCGGUCCCUUCCUGUCAUGAGUCGCCAGGCUGUUGCUGAGGUCGCCACGGGAGCAAUGGAAUAUGGUGUCCCUAAGUAGGAAAAGCAGCGGUCCCUUCCUGUCAUGAGUCGCCAGGCUGUUGCUGAGGUCGCCACGGGAGCAAUGGAAUAUGGUGUCCCUAAGUAGGAAAAGCAGCGGUCCCUUCCUGUCAUGAGUCGCCAGGCUGUUGCUGAGGUCGCCACGGGAGCAAUGGAAUAUGGUGUCCCUAAGUAGGAAAAGCAGCGGUCCCUUCCUGUCAUGAGUCGCCAGGCUGUUGCUGAGGUCGCCACGGGAGCAAUGGAAUAUGGUGUCCCUAAGUAGGAAAAGCAGCGGUCCCUUCCUGUCAUGAGUCGCCAGGCUGUUGCUGAGGUCGCCACGGGAGCAAUGGAAUAUGGUGUCCCUAAGUAGGAAAAGCAGCGGUCCCUUCCUGUCAUGAGUCGCCAGGCUGUUGCUGAGGUCGCCACGGGAGCAAUGGAAUAUGGUGUCCCUAAGUAGGAAAAGCAGCGGUCCCUUCCUGUCAUGAGUCGCCAGGCUGUUGCUGAGGUCGCCACGGGAGCAAUGGAAUAUGGUGUCCCUAAGUAGGAAAAGCAGCGGUCCCUUCCUGUCAUGAGUCGCCAGGCUGUUGCUGAGGUCGCCACGGGAGCAAUGGAAUAUGUAUCUCACAACAGGGAAACGAGUCACAGAGGGGUCUAUACAACCUUCUCAGGCUCUUGUUUCAAGGAUGAAGAAGAAGAAAUGUUCCCCUGAGGUCAAGAAUAUCAACUGGCCCCAGGCAGUGCUUCAGAAAACUCCACAUCUGGCAAACAACAGGGGGUACUCUAUAAAUGACCCCAUUGAGGGAUGUGGAAAUUCACUCAUUAAGCUCAUUCAAGAAGAAGGAUUCUACUUUAGUCAUUGUCCCAAAUUUGUAGAAAACCAUAAAAUCUAAACCAUAUUCUUCUGUAUGCAAAGGGGAAUGAUCAAGGCAGUCAGUUGUGCUGUAACUGUAUAGAAGUCAAGAUACAUUUCUAACUCAAGCUUGGGCACACGUUUUACACUAAACAACAUCUCUCGCUGUUGUAUAGACCUUUAGCUGACUUGUGAACAUUGGCUCUAAUAGAUCUCUUCCUGAAACAGUGUUUACAGAUUUUUAAAAAUCUCAAUGGGCAUUAUUUAGAACAGGAGGUUUAGAUGAAUGUAAGAGUUGAACAGAUAAUGUAGAAAGUUCCCAUAUUCUACCCCUCCAGUUUCCCCAAUUGAUAACAUCUAACACGAGUGUAGUACCUUUGGUAUAAUUAGCAAAAUCAUAAUGAUACAUUUUCAUUAAAGUCACAGCUUCCAUUGAAAUUCUCUCUUUGUGCUUUGACAUUCUAUGAAUUUUGACAAAUGCAUAAUGUCGUGCAUCACCGUGACCAUGUUCUACAGAAAUCCAUACACCAGUGUCCCUAACUGCGCUAUCCAGGGGAGCAGCCACUGAUCAGAUGUGCCUGCUUAUGCUUAAGUUAAUUAACGUAAAUGAAGUUAAACAUUCAAGCGGUUGAAUAUCCCUGCUGCUUUGGAGACUGAGGAAUGGGGUAUGAAAUCGAGAGAAGGAGGAAAUAUGUGUGAAGCUUUGUUUUGUUCUGGUUUUCAUAUGUCAGCGUCAUAACAGUAGGAGAUACUGUGUGUGGGCUUCAAGUGUGUUUUGCUCUUCAAGAUUAUCUUUCCCCCAAGACCAGCUCUUUUCUGCUUCUCCUCCACUGAGCAUCAAAGCCUCAGUUACAUUUGGUGUGCACGUUUUGUGAAUUGAACAGGGAAGUUACUACGUUGGGUUUGGUAUGACCUGUGACAGAAGAAGUCUGGGGAGAUACACUGUCACACAUACUUGAACUGGAGACCAAGUGCUACCAUGUGAGCCGGAGGCUGGGGAUGUGGGGACCCUCUCUCUGCACCUUCAGGUCUCAGACCAGCACCUGCCUGGGACACCCUCAGCCUUGCCCCUGGGUGAAAGGAUGCUCCCGGAGUGGACAUCACAGAAAAUGUACCCUCUCAGCCUCCUGCAGAAGUGAGGUGGGAGGUGCACCCUGGAGCACAUUUCUCUCAGGAUCAGAAUAAGUCCUGCACAUGUGAGUCCAUGUGAGAGAGGCCUGUGUGCAGCUGCCCUGAGACCCUCCCUGGUUGGCGGGAAUUCUAGAAGCCUGUGUGAAGGCUGCUGGGCUGGCCACACACCCUGGCUCUCAUGGCCCCACUGAGCUCUCUCCUGGGACUGACCAGGCCCAGAGACUCCGAGCAGCAGACAGGAGUCCCUGCCCCUGUCACAACCUGCUGCUCCAGCCACAGAGUCCUGGCCCAUCCUGUGACCUUCGUUCAGGCCUGCCCGGGGUCUCCCCCCAGUCUUUGCAGGGCUCAGGCAAAGGCUGGCAAGGACAGUGUUCAUGUGGCUUCACCUACUAUAGAACCCCUGUCACGCUGCUUGUGGAUUAGGGGAAUUUGGACCAAGUACUUUUAAUUUCAUGUUUAUCCUCUUAGGGGCAAGGAAAGGUACAGGGUUCUGAGGAUUAAGUAUCUCCAAGUACCUAAGGUCACCCCAGGCACAGGACAGACACUAUGUGUGUGUGGCAAGGGUUGACUUUCUCUCUGACAGGGCCCAGCACAACCCCAGACCUGUGGCAGGUAUCCCAGGGUGGGGUGGCUGCAGUGGUUACUUGAUCAACUGAUUGGUUAGGGAGGCUGGCAGUAUACCCGUGAUCAUUCCCCCCCUCCACCCAUAUGACACAACAGUCUGGUCGGUGGAGGUGACAGGAAAAGGGAAAGGACACUGAUCACGGGAGAUAGAAGGGAAGCAGCAGGUUGUGAGUACUGAGGAAGGCAACGUCACGCACAGAAAUGCAUGGAGACAGCGGCUGCCUCCUAAGAAGGACAAGAUGACCCCAGUGUUCAUUCCAGGCCACAAUUAUGGAAUGUGAGGGCUGGAAAAGUACACUGGAGAUCAGAGACCCAGUCCCUCAUCGUGGUCCCAGGGAGGAGUGCAGAGCUGAGGUCAGAAUGGGGCCUGAGAUCAGCCCUUAUCCUGCCAGGAGCAGUGAGUAUGAGUUCUCACUGUCCCCUGUCCUUUCCCAAGGCCACCCCUUCCGGGCCACAGCUGCCAUGGUCCAUGCCAAAGAUUAAUUGCAGAUUAUGAAGACUCAGGAAAAGAGAGCAGAAUUCUGCACCUAAUUUCUUUCCUCUGUCAUGUCCUUCACUUUCUUGCAUUCCCAUCCUUAAGCUCCUUCUUCUGUGGCUCUUCACCACUCCCUCUCUGAACGAUUCUCAUCCUGAAGAACCUGGUCCUGUCCAGGCACAGGACAUCCUCACAUCUCCAGUGUCUAUAAGAUCUCCCGCCACCCCCUCACCUGCUUUCCGAGCAGCGCCUUGGGCCCAGACCUGAGUCUGCACUCCUGGACCCUGCUCAGCCACCCUGAGUGGUGGACUGGGAGCAGGGUGGGGGCGGAGGAUGGAUGGGCCCACCUGCCUGAGAGGCUCCCCCAGAAGACGGGGGCUUCCAGGAACCUCGCAAUUGGUGCUCUCCUGCCCCAGGGACGGGUGUGGUGCUCUGGACAGACUCGAUCCUUCUCUUCCCACCAGCUGGCAGGGGUCAGAAAGUCUCUUCCCCCAGGCUCAAGAGGGGGGUGGGUGAAGAAGGUGAGAGGCGAUAAAGUGGAAGAGUAAGAGGAGAUGUGGAAUGUGGAGAGGACGGGAGGAAAAGCAGAAGGCAAAUAAGGGCCCACAUCUCCGUGGCUUCCCUGACUUUGUCUUGGGCCCUUUGGGAAAGGCAACCAAAGGGAAGGGAGCCCCGCACAGGGAAGGGGAGGGAUGCCCUGAGCACAUCUCUCCUGGAAACGGAUACCUGCUCCAUACUUCCAGGGGUGCAUGGCCCUGACUCUGCCCAAGUCGGGCCUCCUGGGAAAAGUGAAGACAGAAGCCCUGAGCUCCCUGGCAUGCAAGCACGGCAGCUCCCCAUGUCCAGAUCUGCAGACCCGUGACCACACAGCAGCCUGGGCAUCAAGUAGGGGCCACCGCAGCCUCCAGCCCGGGCUGGGAGUAGCCCAAGCCCUUGGGGUAGUCAGCUUCUGCGGAGCCCUGUGGACAGCCUGGAUCACCUCAAACUGGGGUUCUAUAAUUUUUUGUUUUAAUAUAUAUAUAUAUAAAUUUUGUUUAUAUAUAUAUGUAAAAAUCAAAACACACAUGGAAAUGAAGGCAAAUUCAGUGCAGUGUCCAUUAGGGAAUUUGUAAGGAGGUAGAAUUGCAAAUUGCUUAUGUUUCUUUUAUUUUUCAAUUUUUUUAAUUAAUUCAAAUAUAACUGGUUUAAUUCCA
Prionailurus viverrinus (fishing cat) is the source of this 5107-nucleotide RNA transcript. It is a transcript of the gene named ankyrin repeat domain-containing protein 26-like, with no coding region annotated. The record is from RefSeq and is a predicted model, not a curated record. The transcript has 27 exons. NCBI's taxonomy places the organism in Eukaryota, Metazoa, Chordata, Mammalia, Carnivora, Felidae.